GCACGCCGUGUUUUGCUCAAAAAUUAAACGUAUUUACGGCGUGCAAACGCACGCAGUAGUAAUCUGUCCUAAAAAACCUAAUUAAACACGACAUUUUUCUCCCAUUCAUAACUUCUCCUCCUUCUCUCAAUUCACUGUGCCUCCUACCGUUCUUUUUCCCCAUCAACCCAGUGCUUCUUGUGCAGCCACUAGUCCACCACAACCACCAUCCUUGACUCCGCCUCUCCACGACUUUGCCCGGCGCCUCAACUCUCACUCUCCGCCUUUCACUGUCAACCACGGGCGCCAGCUCUCACCCUUGUCGGUCGCCUCCCAGGACCCAAAUCAAAAUAUUUCUAUAAGGUAAGGAUUCUUCAAAUUAAUACCUGCCUCUUUCUUGAUAGGGGUCUAGUUUCUAGAAGGAAUUGUAUGAUUUAAGCUAUUGAAUGAGUUAGCAUGAAUCAGAUUAAUACCUAAAAUCAAGUUAUUGUUUGGCUAUUUCCUGAUUCGUUAUGUCAUUCGACUUGAUAAUGAAAUUAAUUUUCUUAUUAUUGCAUUUUUCUAUAUGGAGUUUGAAAUAUUUUCCUUUGUUGAUGAAAUUUUUUAUUUUGAGUGUUUUUUAGGUUAUAUUUUGGUUGUAAAUGUUGGCUGUGCUGCUUGAUUUUUGAAUGAAUUAAAUUUAGGCAUUUUCAGUUAUAUCUCAUUGUUGUUUGGCAUUUUAUUGAUGUGUAUAUUUAUAAACUCCAGUGAUUAAGUCCCCUUUAUGAUUUUAUUUUUUCUUUACAAUUGUGUUUUUAUUUGCUGGAGAAUAGGAGACAAAAUUAGAUAACUGCUUUCUAUUUUCUAUCUUUUGCUAUUCCUUGUUACGGGAAUUUUUUUAUAGUAGUGCCUUAUGAUGAAACUUUUGAGUAUAUACUUGGGCUGUUGGUAAAGUAGAUAGUGAAGCUCAUUUUCUUCUUACAAUAAGUGAGAUAAAUGUAUUCCAUUUAUAGAUAUUUCACCGACUCUGUAAUGGAUUUUGUUUGUUGAUCCACUGUAUUUAGUGCUAUAUUUUUCAGAUUUGCUGAAUGUUAUCUGCCAAUCGUCACUGGGAAAUAAUGUGUAUGUUUUGAAAGCUGUUUAAGAUGCAUUCUUGCAUGGGCUUCCGACAUAAAACAUAAAAAGAAGCAUGAAUCAUUAAUUAGUUCAUAAAACUAUUGGUAGUUUUUUAUAGUGAAGGAAAAGCAUAUACCAAGUAGAACCUCACCAAUAAUCAGUACAUACUCUGUAAUAAUAAGUUCAUCUCCUUGAUCAAUUCCAUUGGUGGUAGCUGCAGUGAUGUCAAUUCCUUAUUUUAAGAUAAUUGAAAAUCUAUUCUCUGAUACCUAUAUAUAUAUAUAUAUAUAUAUAUAUAUAUAUAUAUAUAUAUAUAUAUAUAUAUAUAUAUAUAUAUAUAUAUAUAGAUCUCUAUGGAGACAAAAGUGAGAUGGGGGAAGAAAAGGGGAACCCCUUCUUUCUAGGGUUAUCCCUCUCACCUAUUGGAGAGAACUUUUUUAUAUACGUUACAGAUUGGUAAUUUGUGAUAAUAUGUGAAUCUGUGAUAAUUUGACAUUAGAAUGAAUUUGCUAUUUGUUUUCCUUUGUAAUUAUAAAUCUUCGUGCUUUGUUGCUUUUAAUUGACAGGACAGGCUUUUAGUUAUAGUUGAAGACAUUGCACAAGAAAAAGCAAGAAAACACAGCCCCAGUGCACUUUGCAUGCCUAUCUAUCUUUGAUCACAUCGCACACUGUUUGUGUGUGGGAGAGGGAAAGAAAUUGCACAGGCAAAAAACAAGAUAAUAAAUGAAGAAAAGCAUAAUCAAACACUCACUCUGGUGAAGUUACAAAAACAACCCAUGUAUUAUCAUCACUUUUUUUGAUUUUUUAACUUUUGAUAUCAUGUGCUUCUUUCUUUAUACCAAAUUAUAAAAAUAUUAACUCAUCAUUUCACUCUGUUGAAUAUCUGUUAAAGUAGUUCCCUUGAUGCUUGACAUCAAAGCACUAUUUAAUCAUUUUCAGAGGGCUCUUGGAGUCAUAAGAUAAAGCCAUUGGGUUUUUAGAUAGCUCUCUCAGAUUUCUCAUUGGUUUGUUUUUGUGCUUUUUCUAGGGCAUCAUGAAAUUCCAUUAAAAUGGGUAGAUUAAAUUCCUAGGACUUAGAUUUUGAGCUAGUUGUAUUAAAUUUAAUGAAUUAUGUUUUCCAUUUACCCUUCCCUUGUACCAAUUGUGGUAUAUGGGAUUUCUAAUUUUUGAAGAUCUGCAUUAGUGGUCAUAAAGAUUUUUUUUUUUUUUCUUUUUCUUCAAGUGUUUGUGGAGAGAUUCUACUGUAAUGGAAUUUAGUCCAGUACCUUAUGUUUGCUUCUGGGAUCUGAAUUUCAAUCUGAUAAGUAAUUUUUUCUCCAUAGAUCUUUCAGUCAAUUGCUAAGUUUCUGUAGAUGGCCGAGGUUCAAAAUCAAAAUUAGACCUUUGUUUUCCUUAUCUUGAUUUCACAAUUCAUUAGGCAAAUAAUAUUACAAUUCAAGUCCUCCUAGCAUUCUUGCUUCUGUGGGUCUAACACUUUUAACUGGCCAUUGAUUGCCAUUGAGUGAAACUUGAUCAUUGACAUCUGAUGAAAUUUCAGGUACAGGCAGCUUACAAAUGAGCGUUGCUGAAGUCUCAUCCAGAUCAAGCUCCGCACUCAUGUGGUUGGAAAGCAUUCUUUUGUUUGUAAAGUAACUUAUUAGUGUUGGUUGAACUUAUGUCUGUUGGUUGAGAAGCCGUCAGUUAUCAAUCAGGCAUGUCAUUUGUUGAACUUAUGUCUGUCGGUUGAGGAAAUUGAAAGUAUUUGUUACAUUUAUUGAUACAUUUUAUUUAUAUAUGAUAAAUGUUUGUGUUAAUUUUUUCAUCUUUAA
This 2882-nucleotide long non-coding RNA is filed under the name Olea europaea subsp. europaea. The record is from RNAcentral. Lineage: Eukaryota; Viridiplantae; Streptophyta; Magnoliopsida; Lamiales; Oleaceae.